Molecule: ribosomal RNA, 483 nt
Filed under: Triticum aestivum (bread wheat)
Lineage: Eukaryota; Viridiplantae; Streptophyta; Magnoliopsida; Poales; Poaceae
Description: partial small subunit ribosomal RNA
Source: RNAcentral
AUGGAUCAGGAGCUGAUCGAGCACCUUGAGGCCAGAGUGAGUGCUGACAGCGUGAGAUCUCACCCUCUCAUCGAUUUGUUCAUACCAACCAUCGACAGCGAGCACGACAUAUGCUACACCCAUCCUGAGAAACUUCUAGGUAUCACACUGAGUGUCCUAAGCAAGCAUUUCUUCCAGCGCAAUUCCGGGGCGUUCAAAAGGGGCACGUGGACGCGUCGCAAGAUACAGUCGUACUGCGGCUUGCACGCGAUGUGGCACAAGACUGGCAAUACCUUGCCGGUGAUGGUCAAUGGCCGACAGACAGGCAUCAAAAACGUUCUGGUGCUGCACACCAACAAGAACUUUGACCAUUCCUGCAAAAAAAAAGAACUUCGACUAGCAAAGGACCAAUUGGGUGAUGCACCAGUACCACCACGGGGACCUGGAGCAAGAGAAGGAGCAGGAGCUGGUCCUCUGCAAGAUUUUCUACCAGACGAACACUAG